UCAAGCCAAGGAAUCUGAACCUGGAUGUUCCCUGCCUCAACAAAGAAAAUUCACAAUCCAAACUCCAGCAAGUGAUAAAGCGAGGAAUGCUGAUUCAAACCCUGGCUAUAGUUCUAUGUUACCACCUUUCCUGCCGAGUCCAUGUUCAGCAAGCCACCCAGCAGAAGCCCCUUCUCAUAUGUCCAACUAUGAUCGACUUGGUCAUGCCAGUGAUUGUUUAAAUACAAGCUCUUAUAAUCAGGAGCGCAAGUUGGAGAAUCUCGGGAUUGUUUCUCCUUUACCUGAUCAAAAUACAAGCAACAGCUUGUUUAUGGGUGCUGCUGUAAAUAGCAUUGGCUAUGGAAGCA
Molecule: long non-coding RNA, 347 nt
Filed under: Linum usitatissimum (flax)
Lineage: Eukaryota; Viridiplantae; Streptophyta; Magnoliopsida; Malpighiales; Linaceae
Description: long non-coding RNA (LUSI_LNC001195)
Source: RNAcentral